RNAcentral lists this long non-coding RNA (869 nucleotides) under Coturnix japonica (Japanese quail). RNAcentral describes it as "lncRNA (ENSCJPG00005016110.1)". Lineage: Eukaryota; Metazoa; Chordata; Aves; Galliformes; Phasianidae. The record is from RNAcentral.
GCAACCUGAACUCCUCUCCUGCCCUCUGCCAGAGAACAAGAAUCUCAGCAGUGGUGCUCGUGCACUUCUUUGACACUUCCGGAGAUGUUGCCCAGGAUCCCCUCCAACUUCUUUGUAAAGUGCCAAGACAAUCCCUCACAUUAGAAGGCAUCUAAGAAGAGAUGGCAUUAGUGACAGCUGGAUACAGAAGUAUAAGUGACAGCCUUGACUGUACACACAGAAGUUCAUUAGCAGAUGGGAGGAGGAAACAAGCAUUAAGAAUGAGUGAUGUAUGUGAUUCAAGGCAAUGGCAGGAGGAAGGUGAGUUCAAACCCUCACUUUCCCCACGCUCACUGCAGCUCUUCUCAGGAACACAAAGUGCUUGCAGUCCUGCUGUCAGCAGGCUGGAAAGUAUGUUGAAAGAACAUCUGCAGACCUGGAUGCUCACCUGGUAUUUCUUCUCUUAACUUCAUCCCUGCUAGAGGAUUCACUGUGUCAGUUCUAGGAAAUUUGGGAUGCCUACAGUGUGGUGCAUCUUCUUGCUCCUCCUGUUGCCUCUAAAGCCAUAUAUCACUGAAGCUAAUGUAAGAAUCCCAAUAUUAAACUUAAAAAUGAUAGAAAUAACUAAAGAUGACAUUGCAGAUACACUCUUAAUGGCAUUAGGACUCAUCUUAAGAUAGAAUCAUAGAAACUUCCUACCUUUUACUGAAUUUAUUUUACUCACUGAUUAAACUGUGAGACUGUCUUUCACGGGUCUUUCACUUAAGAUUUUCUCUGUUAGCAUCCAGCGUGCAUUUACAUGCUUGGACACAUUUUAUUUUCCUAAUCACUUUGCUCAGGAUUUUAUUUUAUUAACAAAUUGAGACUACUAAUUAAAGCAUUCAAGUUCC